RNAcentral lists this ribosomal RNA (450 nucleotides) under uncultured bacterium. Its description in RNAcentral is "partial 16S ribosomal RNA". It matches the Rfam family "Bacterial small subunit ribosomal RNA", at positions 354 to 796 of the family's 1533-position model. The record is from RNAcentral.
GUGGGGAAUCUUCCGCAAUGGACGAAAGUCUGACGGAGCAACGCCGCGUGAGUGAUGAAGGUCUUCGGAUUGUAAAGCUCUGUUAAUCGGGACGAAAGAGCCUAGUGUGAAUAAUGCUAGGAAGUGACGGUACCGGAAUAGAAAGCCACGGCUAACUACGUGCCAGCAGCCGCGGUAAUACGUAGGUGGCAAGCGUUGUCCGGAAUUAUUGGGCGUAACGCGCGCGCAGGCGGAUCUGCCAGUCUGUCUUAAAAGUUCGGGGCUUAACCCCGUGAUGGGAUGGAAACUACAGAUCUAGAGUAUCGGAGAGGAAAGUGGAAUUCCUAGUGUAGCGGUGAAAUGCGUAGAUAUUAGGAAGAACACCAGUGGCGAAGGCGACUUUCUGGACGAAAACUGACGCUGAGGCGCGAAAGCCAGGGGAGCGAACGGGAUUAGAUACCCGUGUAGUCC